RNAcentral lists this ribosomal RNA (484 nucleotides) under Gerris nepalensis. RNAcentral's name for it is "partial 16S ribosomal RNA". The record is from RNAcentral. Lineage: Eukaryota; Metazoa; Arthropoda; Insecta; Hemiptera; Gerridae.
UGGUCGAACAGACCAAGAAAAUUGAAAUGAUGACACCCAAAUCUUAUCUUAAUUCAACAUCGAGGUCGCAAACUUAUUCAUCGAUAUGAACUCUCCGAAAAAAUUACGCUGUUAUCCCUAAGGUAAGUUAAUCAUAUAAUCAAAAAUUUGGGGAUCAAAAAAACAUAAAUUAAUGAAAAAAAAAUUAAAAGUUAAAUAAAUUUUAAUGUCACCCCAACAAAACUUUAUAUUCUAAAAAAUUAUUAAAUAAACAAAAAAUAAUAAUUAAUAAAUAAAGUAAACUUCUAUAGGGUCUUCUCGUCCUAUAAAAAAAUUUUAGCUUUUUAACUAAAAAAUUAAAUUCAAAAAUAAAAAAAGAAAGUUUAUUUUUCAUCAAACCAUUCAUACUAGCCUUCAAUUAAAAGACAAAUGAUUAUGCUACCUUCGUACAGUUAAAAUACCGCAGCCUUUUAAUUCAUAAAAAUCAAUGGGCAGGUCAGAUCUU